CAUGUUCAUUUUCCUACACUUUGGUGAAAGUCAUCGUUCAGUUUAUGGCAUCCUACGGUUAAAAUAAAUAGUCGUUAAGACAAUAGAGCCCCAGGAGUAGAUAGUGUCGCGUAGCAACGCUUCGACGUAUAUGACGAGAGUUGUCAAACGUCAUAUCGUGCAGCAACGUACAUCACGAGAGUUGUCAAACUUCUAGACAUUGAUAAUUUCAACAGCUCCGUCAGCAAUACUCGUAGUCUUAGCGUAAAAGUGCUUACUUUAGACGCUGUAGACCCGGGUUCGAUACACCUACCAGUGUAUGGAAUUUUUUGGGUUUUGUAAAGUUAAAGAAAAUUUCUAGUAAGUUCAGGAUCAAAUCGAACAGAAAAAAAAGGAUGGAAUAUGUGUAAGCAGGAUAAAAAUAGUUAAAAGAAUUUUCUAGUACAAUUUAAAUUUAAAGAUAGAAUGGGAGAAUCAUAUUGAAAAUAGAACAGAUCCGGGGGUAUAUAAGCCAUACUAAGCGUGGCCUGCGGCAGUUCUAGUUCUGACUCGAAAGUGUAAAGAAGAAGAAGAAGAAAAGAAGAAGUAGUGAAAAGUGGAAGUGUUCCAAGAAGAAGAAGAUAGAAGAGACUUAGUGUUCGGUGCGGUGUGACGCGUUGAAGGUACCGCCGGCCGCCCACAAGAGGAACAGCGGCAGACCGGCGAAGUGCAAGUUCAGAAAAAGUGAACGCAAAUAAAGACUCGUUCCUAUAAGCGGAGUAUUAUUUGCAAUCCCUGACCCACUCUCGUGUCAAUAGUAAUUAAAAAGAGUAAUAACAACUGUAUAUACGUUGAGAGCGUUAUCUGUUCAAGAUAUAUCAUAUCAAGUCAAGGUCAAUAUAUCUUAUAUUUAACCGACGAAUCACGAAUGUUGCCUAGAAUCAAAUAGAUGUGUAUCAUAAAUCAUAGUCAAACAGUUGUACAGCAAAAUCCGAAGUACGCUUGCUUAAAUUACUUACAUAUUUUAUAAAAUGCUAUCUUUUAGAAAAGUUACUUGUUUGCUGCAAAAAGAAUUAGGCCAACUUAGAUCAAUGGGAUGUUCUCCUGCAAGUUCAUCUCACAGAGUGCUGAUGACAUUUUUAUCUAAAACAAAUUAUUCUACAUCAAAUAAUCGGGCGACAGUGGAUGACAAAGAGUUAGAGAGAUUUAACAAAUUAGAUUGGUGGAACCCAAACGGCGCCUGUCGAGGAUUACAUUCUUUUAACGAACUCAGAGUUCCAUUUGUUAGAGAUGUGGUUGCAGGUGAUUCAAUGGAUAAACAUUCAUUAGAUGUGUUCACGGAUAAAAAAGUGCUUGAAGUUGGUUGUGGAGCUGGAAUUUUUGCAGAAGUAGGGAUUAGCAAAAGCUGGCGUUAAUAUAACAGCAAUCGAUCCAAGCCCGGAAUUAAUUGAUAUUGCGCAAAACCACAGCGAUUCAAACCCAGAUAUUGCGAACAACAAACCAAUGUAUUAUUGCACAACUAUUG
This is a long non-coding RNA of Leptidea sinapis, 1483 nucleotides long. RefSeq lists it as uncharacterized. Lineage: Eukaryota; Metazoa; Arthropoda; Insecta; Lepidoptera; Pieridae. The transcript has 4 exons. The record is from RefSeq and is a predicted model, not a curated record.